UUCCCCGGCUACAUCUCUCACCGGAGCAUCCGCAGCCAUCGCACAAGAGAUGCUGGAAAAACGGGAGUAACCCAAUCGCACGUAGCUUAGUAUGCGUGGAGUCCAAGAAGCUGCUUGAUGGAGCGGACUACCAGCUCAGAUCCAUGCCAUAGCAUAUACAUCAUGUACGUCAUGGAUGCAUGCAUAAAUAUGUACAGUGGUGAAACUUGAUCAGGGAGCUAGGACGUCAGCCAGUAGUAUUCAUUGGUGCCAUAUUUAUCUAAUAUCUCUGGAGAUUAUGCUUUCUCCUAAUGUAUAGAUCUUACACUGCCACAUUUAUCUUCUAUUCCCCACUAAAGGAAAGUGAAAUAUAUGUAAAACUUGAUACCAAGAUUCAGAUUGAGCGAGUAUAUCAAAAGAGAG
This 402-nucleotide long non-coding RNA is filed under the name Hordeum vulgare. RNAcentral describes it as "long non-coding RNA (HVUL_LNC014626)". The record is from RNAcentral. Lineage: Eukaryota; Viridiplantae; Streptophyta; Magnoliopsida; Poales; Poaceae.